CUAGAAACAAAGCAUCUCUCCAUCGAAGACUUUAUCUCCCUCAAUUAUCUCUCUCUGGUUCACUUCUCUCCAUUAAUUCUCCAAGUUCUCUCUCACUUAUAACCCUAAAUCUCGCUUCCACAUGAUGAAACACUAGAGUAAUUUCAGCCUUAGCUUAACGAUCAUCCCGACUGUCACUUUAACAAACACCAUAGAUAUCUUAUGUUGAAGGUGAAUAUUACAAACAAGGGUUUAACCCACCUAAUGCGGGUUUAGUCCUCGGGGGAGUUGGGUGUAGUUCAGUUUUUACCCGUUAGUCGUGGGGGAGUUCGAAGGAGUCUCUCAAAAUCCUCGUUAGUCGUGGGAGAGUUUAGAAGAGUCUCUGAAACUCCCUAGAAAACCACGUUAGUCGUUAGGGAGUUUCAAAGAAACUCUUGAACUCCCUGUUAGUGGUAAAACCCAAGAAUGUUAGCGAGUUGGUUGUUUUGGGGAAUUCUGGGGAGUUUACAGUGUAAUUUUUCCUCAUUACAAAUCUCUCAAAAGAGUAGAGAUUUUGGAAGAGUCUCCCAAACUCCCUAAACUCAAAAAACCAAACUCUCAAACUCCUUACAUUCUAUUACACUCCCUCAAAAUCCCCAAGAUUCACAAUACAUUAAACUCCACCCAACUCAUCCGUGGACCAACCCCCUGUAAAAUUUCAUCAAUAAACUAGGGAGCAGAGAAAUGGGGAAGAGCCGGAAGAAGAUAUUUGAUGGUGAAGGAAUGGGUAACUGUGGAUGGCUAAUGGUACUCUAUUUUGACGUGAAUGGGCAUCAUUUGGAUUUAGGUACCCAUACAAAGCUAUCUUUGUUGUCAUUUUUGAUGGGUAUGUUCUUCUUUUUAAAAAGAAUCCCAAGGUAUGCAUCAAUAGAUUUCAUGUUUUAUCGUUAUUUUGAUAAUCUCAUUUGUUUUUAUUCGGUUGUGCUUAUGUCCUGGUGUUUGCGUGACUCAAGAAAGGUUAUAUAUAUACAACAUGGAAUACUGAACUCUUCCACGGGGGACGUCGUUCCUAGUUCAGUUGCCAUGUCAGUGGAGCUAACUUCAAUUAUCAUAUUAUGUUUUUUUUUAAGAACCUACACUUCUAAUUCAGGUUCUCAAUGCAGCUUAUCCCAAAAUCUCUCUCGAGAAGUUGAUGUUGAAACCCUGAAGACUAUGGUGAUGAAAUCCAAUUGUUUGCAAGAAAUUGACCUUACAGAUUGUGAAGCUCUGAUGACUUCUAUUUGUGAAGUUUUCAGUGGUGAGGGUGGUUUCCCGGUACUCAAGUCACCGGUCCUCAAUAACUGAAAGAGUCUAACCGCAGUAAAAUUCAGCCGUACGUCCCUUGUUGGUUACUGAGGCAUGACCUCUAACUCAAAUGCCCUUAAACAAGUCCAUUUACAUGGUUGUGAUCAUCUUGAACGAGCAUCAUUUUUCCAUGACCUCUGACGGUGCUGCUGAUUUAAGUGAUGUCGUGUUUUAUCUGAUGCAUCCAUUCGCUUGCCCCGUAUGAUAGCGUUGGAUUCUUCUUUUUGUGGGUGUUUUCGGAGAAAUAAGCUUUUGCGUCGAAAUUGGCUCGAAAAGUGGAAUUUGCACACCCGGAGGAUAAUUACUAAAUGGACCCCCUAAUUUGGAUACAGGGAACUUCAAUUUAUAAGGGGCACCUACUGUUAAUUACACCCCAGAGCAUCCUAGUGCUAAAGACACCCCGGUUCGGUUAGGGGGACACCAUCUUCCCCAUUUGAAAAAUCGAAUUUGGCGGGAAGAUUUUAUACUCGUCCGUGUCGCGUCUGCAUACUGCAUGAAUUUGCUGGAUCGAGUUUGGUGAGUUUUUGUCGGAUUUUUCUCGCUGGAAAGGAUUGGUUUGGGCUUGUUAAAUCCAAACAGGAUUGGUAAUUGGAUUGGGUUCGAAAAAAGGAGAAAAUUUCUACAGAAUCUCAACAAAACAGGGGACAAUAUAUAUCGGGCUUAUGAGAAAAGAAUAAAGGUGCAUACCGAUCGGUUUGAGUUUGUUGCGACAAGGCAGGGAUGAGUGACGUAUUGGAAUCAAAAAGAAGGUAUGAAAUCUGAGUGACGUAUUGGAAUCAAAAAGAAGGUAUGAAAUCUUCUGUAUAUUUUAGUUUGAUAAAACAGGGAAGGUGAGCUAUUAAGGGUUUGUGUUGAUUCCAAAUAUGGAAGUUACAUGUGGAGAUAAGGCUAGGAUAUCUUCGUGAGAUUUGUUUCUAUCCUAGGAAAGUUUGACAACUUACAGACGCGUAGAGAAGAGAAGAAAUAGCCAAGUCCCGUGACUUUUGG
Long non-coding RNA from Papaver somniferum (opium poppy), 2289 nucleotides. RefSeq lists it as uncharacterized. NCBI's taxonomy places the organism in Eukaryota, Viridiplantae, Streptophyta, Magnoliopsida, Ranunculales, Papaveraceae. The record is from RefSeq and is a predicted model, not a curated record. The transcript is spliced from 8 exons.